Molecule: long non-coding RNA, 199 nt
Organism: Telopea speciosissima
Lineage: Eukaryota; Viridiplantae; Streptophyta; Magnoliopsida; Proteales; Proteaceae
Exons: 2
Source: RefSeq, a predicted model, not a curated record
UCUUCAGAGUCUGCAAUUCAGCGACUGAAGGAGGCUCCAUCGAAAUCUCCCUCCGAUCAAGUGAAGAAGCCUCUGAAGAUCUCUAAGAAAUGCUUGGACUCUGCGUUUGCAGCUAUUCCGGAAGAUCAAUCUCCUCGAAAAUCGAUUUCUAGUUCGAACGAUUCCAAUUACGUAUUGGUGAACUCCUCUGUUGAUCAAA